RNAcentral lists this ribosomal RNA (408 nucleotides) under Panulirus ornatus. Its description in RNAcentral is "partial large subunit ribosomal RNA". It matches the Rfam family "Bacterial large subunit ribosomal RNA", at positions 1932 to 2536 of the family's 2925-position model. Lineage: Eukaryota; Metazoa; Arthropoda; Malacostraca; Decapoda; Palinuridae. The record is from RNAcentral.
CGCGGUAGUAUGACCGUGCUAAGGUAGCAUAAUAAUUUGUCCUUUAAUUGGGGACUGGUAUGAACGGUUGAACAAGAAAUUAACUGUCUCUAUUGCAAACUUUGAACUUUACAUUUAAGUGAAAAGGCUUAAAUAGUAUAGGGGGACGAUAAGACCCUAUAAAUCUUUAUACUUUAACUAAUAAAUUUUAAAGACUAGUUGCAAAUUUAGUGUUAUUAAGUUAAAAUAUUUUGUUGGGGCGACAGGAGUAUAAUAAGUAACUGCUUUGUUUAUAAAUUUAAUUAUUUUUAAUGUGUAAAUUGUAUUGAUCCUCUGUUGGAGAAAUCAGACUAAGUUACUUUAGGGAUAACAGCGUAAUCUUUUUUGAGAGUCCAUAUCGAAAAAAUGGUUUGCGACCUCGAUGUUGAA